RNAcentral lists this ribosomal RNA (1243 nucleotides) under uncultured bacterium. RNAcentral describes it as "bacterial SSU rRNA". It matches the Rfam family "Bacterial small subunit ribosomal RNA", at positions 137 to 1384 of the family's 1533-position model. The record is from RNAcentral.
UGGGGAAUAGCCUUUGGAAACGAAGAUUAAUGCCCCAUAGUAUUAUAAACUGGCAUCGGUUUAUAAUUAAAGUUUCGGCGGUAUAAGAUGACUAUGCGUUCUAUUAGUUAGUUGGUAAGGUAACGGCUUACCAAGACAUCGAUAGAUAGGGGUCCUGAGAGGGAGAUCCCCCACACUGGUACUGAGACACGGACCAGACUCCUACGGGAGGCAGCAGUGAGGAAUAUUGGACAAUGGGGGCAACCCUGAUCCAGCCAUGCCGCGUGUAGGAAGACUGCCCUAUGGGUUGUAAACUACUUUUAUAUGGGAAGAAUAAGGUCUAUGUAUAGACUGAUGACGGUACCAUAAGAAUAAGCACCGGCUAACUCCGUGCCAGCAGCCGCGGUAAUACGGAGGGUGCAAGCGUUAUCCGGAAUCAUUGGGUUUAAAGGGUCCGUAGGCGGGCUUGUAAGUCAGUGGUGAAAGUCUGUGGCUUAACCAUAGAAUUGCCAUUGAUACUGCAGGUCUUGAAUUAUUGUGAAGUGGUUAGAAUAUGUAGUGUAGCGGUGAAAUGCUUAGAGAUUACAUAGAAUACCGAUUGCGAAGGCAGAUCACUAACAAUAUAUUGACGCUGAUGGACGAAAGCGUAGGUAGCGAACAGGAUUAGAUACCCUGGUAGUCUACGCCGUAAACGAUGGAUACUAGUUGUUUGGCUUUCGGGCUGAGUGACUAAGCGAAAGUGAUAAGUAUCCCACCUGGGGAGUACGUUCGCAAGAAUGAAACUCAAAGGAAUUGACGGGGGCCCGCACAAGCGGUGGAGCAUGUGGUUUAAUUCGAUGAUACGCGAGGAACCUUACCAGGGCUUAAAUGUAGUAUGACAGGACUAGAGAUAGUUUUUUCUUCGGACAUAUUACAAGGUGCUGCAUGGUUGUCGUCAGCUCGUGCCGUGAGGUGUCAGGUUAAGUCCUAUAACGAGCGCAACCCCUGUGGUUAGUUGCCAGCGAGUCAAGUCGGGAACUCUAGCCAGACUGCCGGUGCAAACCGUGAGGAAGGUGGGGAUGACGUCAAAUCAUCACGGCCCUUACGUCCUGGGCCACACACGUGCUACAAUGGUAGGGACAGAGAGCAGCCACUGGGUGACCAGGAGCGAAUCUAUAAACCCUAUCUCAGUUCGGAUUGGAGUCUGCAACUCGACUCCAUGAAGCUGGAAUCGCUAGUAAUCGGAUAUCAGCCAUGAUCCGGUGAAUACGUUCCCGGGCCUUGU